AUUUGAUCCUUGAUAUUGCAUCUAUCACAGAGGAAAACACUCACAUACCGGGAGAGCUUAGGGUGGCCACUAACAGAGAAUUGCUUUGCUUGGAAGAGAAGCAGGAGAGACCAAGAGCUCCAUAUAAAGCAGGUGCAGUAGUAUCACUGCUGGUGGGACCCAGCAGAACAGCAGUAGGGCAGCAGCUGUGCGAACCUGUGAAAACCACAGAUGUCAGCUGGACCUAUAUGGCACCAUGAGAGCAAAACUGAAGGACAGGUAGAAACUGUCAUGGCAUGCUAUGUGGUGAUAGAUGCAUGGGGAGAAGCUACUGUGCCCACAGAAGGAGUGUGGAGGGCUGCAUUGUCCAGCUGAGCAUUGAGGGGCACCUAGUGGAACAGUGUGCAUACCAAGAGAGUAAAGCCCAUGGAACUGCCAGAAAUACUUGAGGAGACUUUGCCAGAAGCUGAAAUUUCUGCAUGAGAAGAUGGGCCCCAGAGCUAGGUCAUCUGUGUGAUUCCUCUGAGAUGCCCUUUGGGAUAACUUGCUCCAUUGGCUGGCUGAGGAGCUCUCAGAAGAAAAUGCUGAGUCUCUUUCCUCAACUCUCCCUCUGCGCCGUAGCACCAUUCAGCUCAUCAAACUCAAGAACCCUGAUGAUCUCACAGAACAGAUCCACGAGUUUCUUUGCUUCUGGAAAAAAUCGCUUCCAACUUUCACCGACAAACUUCGCCUCCUGGCUCGACAUCUCCGCAAGAUUGGCAGGAGUGAUCUUGCGGAAGAGCUCAAAUUCAAGUGGGAAAAUAAAGUGUUCACUGAACCACAGCAGUGUUUUGACGUAGCCCCUGAGUAAAAGCCUGAUCACUCUUCCUUUACCCCUAGGAAAAGGCACAUGAUGGGUUUUUAAGAUUGUUUCUGUUAACAUUUUCCUGGCAGUUUCCGAGUGAUAUUAUUUGAAGUCAGUCUAUUUAAUGAUGUGCUAUGGGGAAAUCAGAUGAGACAAAGGGAGAAGCACGGAUCAGACAAUAGAAAGCAUUCCUGGGUGUGAGCGCUCCUCUUUCGUUGAGUGAUUAUGUUUUGCAACCAUGACUGUCUUGAGUUUGGCCUCACUUAAUAGCAUUUGCAAUUGAGUUUGACUUGUUCACAUUUUAAAAGCUAAGUGUGAAGAAAAGAUCUGAUAUAUGUAAUUACCUAUUAAUUGCUAUCUACAUAAAAUUAAACUAGUUUUCUAUGACUUCAAGUGUGAGCCCAAAAAUAUCUGAGACAGUUCUCAAUCAAUUUAGAAAGAUUAUUUUGCCAAGGUUAAGGACAGGCCCAUAACACAGCCUCAGAAGAUCCUGAUGACAUAUGCCCAAAGUGUUUGGGGUAGGGCUUGCUUUUAUGCAUUUUAGAGAGUUAUAAUGUAUCAAUCAAUACAUGUAAGACGUACAUUGGCUCAAUCUGGAAAGGUAUGACAACUCAAAGGAGGGGCUUCCAGAUCAUAGGUAGAUUUAAAGAUUCUUGAUUGGCAUUGAUUGAAACAGUUAUUAUCUAAAGACCUGGAAUCAAUAGGAAGGCAAUGCCUGGGUUAUGAUAAGAAGUUAUGGAGACCAAAGUUUUAUAAUGCAGAUGAAGCCUCCAGGUAGCAGACUUUAGAGGGAAUAGAUUGUAAAUAUUUCUUACCAGUCCUAACGUCUGUUGAUGUUUAUGCUGGUCAGCUUUUCCUGAAUUCCAAAAGAGAGGAGUGUAUCAUGGAGUCAUGUCCAACCUCUCCUUCCCAUCAUGGCCUAAACUAGUUUUUCAGGAUAACUUUGAAAUGUCCUUGGCUGAGAGAAGGGGCUUGUUCAUAUAGUUGGGGGACUUAGAAUUUUAUUUUUGGUCAACUCAGGCAACCAAUUCAAGUUACAUAGAUACCAUAGAGCCUAGAGUAAACAAUACAAAAUAAAUUGGGCUGAAAGACUUGGUGUCGGUGGUAGUAAUUCACUUUAAAAAAACUUUUCUAAGCUCAAAAUAAAUUAAAAAUAGAAUAACACUUCAGCCAUUUACUGCCACAAACUUUUCCUUUAUAAAAAUAUAACUUGGAAGAGGGGAAAUUCCAUAUUUUGUUAUUAGCGAAAUGAGGCAGUGCAGAGAAAAUAAGUUAUCAGUGAAAGAAUUCAAGGCCUAUUUCUUCUACUUAGGAAGAAAACCUGCUUUAAAAUUAGUUAACAGAAGCCUUAUCACAUAAGCCCUACAUAUACAUCAUUAAAAACAAAGAAAACAUCUGUAAAUAGAACAUUAAAGUGAAAGAAAAAAUUAAAACUUAUCUAAACCCCUCUUUCUAUUGAUAAUCGCUGUUAAUGUCUAGUAUAAGCUUUGAGUUUCUGGAAAGCCUAAAGCCCUUUAGCUCUCUGAAGCAGUUUGAUAUAAAUGGGACAUUGAACUAGUUUCACUGACUCAUUAAUGCAAAAACCAUUAGGUCGUUGGCUUGAAAACAUUGGUAGCAAUUAGUUUCAGUUAUUGAAUACCUAGGAAUUAAUUAAGUUAUAUUACAAAAUUAAAUGUUUUAAUGGCUCUCAAAUUUAAACGCAAGAUUUCCUUCUACAAAUUAACCAGGGAUUUAGAUAGCUAUUCAGUUAUAUACUGAAAAAGGCAAUUCCAAUUUUCAAACAUAGUCCCAUAAAGGAAUAUUUCAUUAAUCAAGAUUUUUUUACAUGUUGCCAAAAAGGUACAAUAUACAUUUUCAUGUAUUCUUGGAGCAAAGAAAACAGACUGAAAUGUUCAUUGUUUUCCUGAUUACAAUCGAACAAAAAAGUAAAUGAAAGUUGCUUCUUA
This 2769-nucleotide small RNA is filed under the name Pongo abelii (Sumatran orangutan). RNAcentral describes it as "processed transcript". The record is from RNAcentral. Lineage: Eukaryota; Metazoa; Chordata; Mammalia; Primates; Hominidae.